RNAcentral lists this ribosomal RNA (348 nucleotides) under Klebsiella pneumoniae. RNAcentral's name for it is "partial 23S ribosomal RNA". It matches the Rfam family "Bacterial large subunit ribosomal RNA", at positions 2583 to 2925 of the family's 2925-position model. Lineage: Bacteria; Pseudomonadati; Pseudomonadota; Gammaproteobacteria; Enterobacterales; Enterobacteriaceae. The record is from RNAcentral.
GCCAUUUAAAGUGGUACGCGAGCUGGGUUUAGAACGUCGUGAGACAGUUCGGUCCCUAUCUGCCGUGGGCGCUGGAGAAUUGAGGGGGGCUGCUCCUAGUACGAGAGGACCGGAGUGGACGCAUCACUGGUGUUCGGGUUGUCAUGCCAAUGGCACUGCCCGGUAGCUAAAUGCGGAAGAGAUAAGUGCUGAAAGCAUCUAAGCACGAAACUUGCCCCGAGAUGAGUUCUCCCUGAGACUUUAAGUCUCCUGAAGGAACGUUAAAGACGAUGACGUUGAUAGGCCGGGUGUGUAAGCGCAGCGAUGCGUUGAGCUAACCGGUACUAAUGAACCGUGAGGCUUAACCUU